This 264-nucleotide ribosomal RNA is filed under the name Triticum aestivum (bread wheat). RNAcentral describes it as "partial small subunit ribosomal RNA". Lineage: Eukaryota; Viridiplantae; Streptophyta; Magnoliopsida; Poales; Poaceae. The record is from RNAcentral.
AUGUUUGUGAAGAAGUACAUGAGACUUCAGUUUGACAGGGAGGCAGAGGAGAACUACGAGGAGAAGCGGACACGAAUAGGGAGACCACUAUACAAAGCAAACUUAGCUAUUGAGCGGCAUGCUGGCAAGAUAUACACACGAGCUAUGUUUCAGCAGUUUGGGCACAUACUGUAUGAGUGCGGCGCAUACCAGGUUGAAGAGCUUGAGAAGGGGAAACUUUACCUUACUAUUCAUACAGAGGCAGCGAGGAGGGAGAAGUGGUGA